UUUCCGCCUUUUCGUUUUGUGCAAAACGCUUUUCGAGGUUUUCAAGGAAAACUUUGGCAUUAUUUUCAUCAUUCAUAGUGCCCUAAAAGAUUCUAGAAUUGCACGUUUCAUGAUCAUUAGACUCAUGCGAUUUGAGCAUUCCCGCUUCUCCAUCUCCUUCUUUUCAUCAGAAGAAGAUGUAUCCUCAAGAGAAGCAGAUUUCUCAAUCCGAAGUGCAAGGUCUAGAUCCAUGCAACCGAGAACUAUCAUAAUGUUCUCUUUCCAUCCUUAAAGUUUGUGCCGUUAAGCACAGGGAUGCUGUUAAUGUUUGCAGAUAUUGUAGCGGCUGAAGAAUUCACUGAAAAUAGAAUAAGGACAACUU
Molecule: long non-coding RNA, 361 nt
Filed under: Nicotiana benthamiana
Lineage: Eukaryota; Viridiplantae; Streptophyta; Magnoliopsida; Solanales; Solanaceae
Description: long non-coding RNA (NBEN_LNC037500)
Source: RNAcentral